Pelodiscus sinensis (Chinese soft-shelled turtle) is the source of this 1354-nucleotide non-coding RNA. NCBI's taxonomy places the organism in Eukaryota, Metazoa, Chordata, Testudines, Trionychidae. The record is from RefSeq and is a predicted model, not a curated record.
AUGCUUUUCACCUAGCUUCUGGUUUUAUCCACUUAUGUACAAAUUUAGUGUGUAAUAAGAAGCAGAUAGAAUGUGUAUUUGAGAGGCUGGUAUCAGACACUGAACAGCUUUGUUUAAAGGGAUAAAUUAUGAAUGUUUCAAUAAUUAGGGCAAGAAGGACAUUCAACAAAUUUUGAAAUUAAGGUGAGCAAUGGGACCUGGAUGUUACAUUAUCUUAGCCACAGAUCGAAACCUAAAUAUUAGAGGAAGUCACUGAACCUCUGUCUUGCCUCCAUUUUCCAUUCUGUGAAAUGGUCAAAUACUCCACAUGACUUAGUUAUUGUUACUAAAGUAUUCUGAGAUCUUUGAAUUGAAAGCUACUAUGUAAAUAUAUGUUAUUUACGUACAUGGCGUUAAUUACUUGGACAAGUUAGAUAUCUUCAAGUCACCAGGGCCUGAUGAAAUGCAUCUUAGAAUACUCAAGGAGCUGACUGAGAGAUAUCUGAGCUAUUAGCUGUUCUCUUUGAAAAGUCAUGGAAGAUGGGAGAGAUUCCAGAAGACUGGAAAAGGCGAAUAUAAUGCCCAUCUAUAAAAAAGGUAAAUAAGGGCAAACCAGGGAAGCUUACCAGUCAGCUUAACUUCUGUACCAGGAAAGAUAAUGGAGCAAAUAAUUAAGGAAUCAGUUUGCAGACAUCUGGAAGACAAGGUGAUACAUAACAGCAUGGAUUUGUAAUGAGCAAAUCAUGUCAAAGCAACCUGACAGCUUUCAUUGACAGGAUAUCCAGCCUUCUGGUUAAGAGGGAAGUGGUAGAUAUAUACCUAGACUUUAGUAAAGCAUUUGAUACAGUCUUGCAUGACUGUCUCAUUAAUAAACUAGGGAAAUACAACCUGUAUGGGGCUACUAUAAAUUGGGUGUAUAACUGGUUAGAUAAUUGUUCCCAGAGAGUAAUUAUCAAUGGUUCACAUUCAUACUGGAAUGGCAUUAGUGGGGCUCCACAGGGAUCAGUUUUGGGACCAGUUCUGUUCAAUAUCUUCAUUAAUGAUCUAGAAUUCUAGAUAAUGGCCUAAAGACUACAUUCAAAUCUAGAGUUUGUAGAUGCAACCCUUCCCAGUUUGGUAUCAAGUGCUUUGGAGGACAGGAUUAUAAUUCAAAAUGUUGUGGAUAAACUGGAGAAAUGGUAUGUAGAAAAUAGGAUGAAAUUUAAUAAGGACAAAUGCAAAGUUUCCAUUUAAGGAAGAAACAAUUAGUUGCACAACAUAUAAAAUAGGAAAUGGACUGUCUAGGAUGGAGUAUUAUGGAAAGGGCUCUAAGACUCUCAUAGUGGAAUAACAAGGUAAAUAUGAAUCAACAGUGAAAUACUUUUGCAAAAAAAAA